GGGAAGUGAUAAAAAACGUAACAAGGUUUCCGUAGGUGAACCUGCGGAAGGAUCAUUAUUG
This 61-nucleotide ribosomal RNA is filed under the name Laccaria sp. Its description in RNAcentral is "partial 18S ribosomal RNA". It matches the Rfam family "Eukaryotic small subunit ribosomal RNA", at positions 1774 to 1831 of the family's 1831-position model. The record is from RNAcentral. Lineage: Eukaryota; Fungi; Basidiomycota; Agaricomycetes; Agaricales; Hydnangiaceae.